AAUAAGUACAAUCAUGAGUUUCCGCAUCCAACUUUGAUUGUCCGUCUUAUUUGAAAUUUUUUUAUGAUUAGCAUUUUUGUUAUUAUGAGAUGAUAAAAUAUGAAUAGUACUUUACUCGUGACUUAUGUUUUUAUUUUUUUCUAAAAGUUUUCAAAUAAGACGAACGGUCAAAGUUGGGCGCGAAACCAUAGCUGUACUUAUU
RNAcentral lists this microRNA precursor (202 nucleotides) under Oryza sativa Japonica Group (Japanese rice). RNAcentral describes it as "MIR812 microRNA precursor family". It matches the Rfam family "MIR812 microRNA precursor family". The record is from Rfam by way of RNAcentral. Lineage: Eukaryota; Viridiplantae; Streptophyta; Magnoliopsida; Poales; Poaceae.